RNAcentral lists this ribosomal RNA (1378 nucleotides) under uncultured bacterium. RNAcentral's name for it is "16S ribosomal RNA". It matches the Rfam family "Bacterial small subunit ribosomal RNA". The record is from RNAcentral.
AGAGUUUGAUCCUGGCUCAGGACGAACGCUGGCGGCGUGCCUAACACAUGCAAGUCGAACGGGGUUAUUCCUUUCGGGGGAUAACUUAGUGGCGAACGGGUGAGUAACGCGUGAGAAACCUGCCUUUCAGUGGGGGACAACAGUUGGAAACGACUGCUAAUACCGCAUGAUACUGUCGGAGGGCAUCCUUUGACAGUCAAAGCUUUAUGUGCUGAAAGAUGGUCUCGCGUCUGAUUAGCUAGAUGGCGGGGUAACGGCCCACCAUGGCGACGAUCAGUAGCCGGUCUGAGAGGAUGAACGGCCACAUUGGGACUGAGAUACGGCCCAGACUCCUACGGGAGGCAGCAGUGGGGAAUAUUGGGCAAUGGGCGAAAGCCUGACCCAGCAACGCCGCGUGAAGGAAGAAGGCCUUCGAGUUGUAAACUUCUUUUACCAGGGACGAAGGACGUGACGGUACCUGGAGAAAAAGCCACGGCUAACUACGUGCCAGCAGCCGCGGUAAUACGUAGGUGGCAAGCGUUGUCCGGAUUUUCUGGGUGUAAAGGGCGUGUAGGCCGGACCUGUAAGUCAAAUGGGAAAAUCCCGGGGCUCCACCCCGGGAACUGCAUUUGAAACUGCAGUCCUUGAGUAUCGGAGAGGCAAGCGGAAUUCCUAGUGUUAGCGGUGAAAUGCGUAGAUAUUAGGAGGAACACCAGUGGCGAAGGCGGCUUGCUGGACGACAACUGACGCUGAGGCGCGAAAGCGUGGGGAGCAAACAGGAUUAGAUACCCUGGUAGUCCACGCUGUAAACGAUGAAUACUAGGUGUGGGGGGACUGACCCCCUCCGUGCCGCAGUUAACACAAUAAGUAUUCCACCUGGGGAGUACGACCGCAAGGUUGAAACUCAAAGGAAUUGACGGGGGCCCGCACAAGCAGUGGAUUAUGUGGUUUAAUUCGACGCAACGCGAAGAACCUUACCAGGAUUUGACAUCCAACUAACGAAGUAGAGAUACAUUAGGUGCCCUUCGGGGAAAGUUGAGACAGGUGGUGCAUGGUUGUCGUCAGCUCGUGUCGUGAGAUGUUGGGUUAAGUCCCGCAACGAGCGCAACCCCUAUUGUUAGUUGCUACGAAAGAGCACUCUAGCGAGACUGCCGUUGACAAAACGGAGGAAGGUGGGGACGACGUCAAAUCAUCAUGCCCCUUAUGUCCUGGGCUACACACGUAAUACAAUGGCGUUCAACAAAGGGAAGCAAAGCCGCGAGGUGGAGCAAAUCCCCAAAAGGCGUCUCAGUUCGGAUUGCAGGCUGCAACUCGCCUGCAUGAAGCUGGAAUUGCUAGUAAUCGUGGAUCAGCAUGCCACGGUGAAUACGUUCCCGGGCCUUGCACACACCGCCCGUCA